UUUUAGUUUUCUUUUUAUGCUUUUGAUUUGUAACUGCAUCAUCUGUGAAAAACUUUCUCUAGUUUAAAAUAUUUUAUGCAUAUUCAAUUUUCUCUUUAUCCUUUUACUUUCCGUUUGUUCUUAGUUUACAAUUUCAAUUCCAAAAAAUUAGUACCAUGUUUAGGCGAAAGCAGAGGAUCUGUCUUGGUGUUAAUGAUACAAAAAAAAAAUUGUUAUGGCAAAGUUGGUGAGUUUGAAGGCCUAGUAUUGUUGUGAAUCUUGGAGACUCAAAACAUGUUUUAGUAUUUUAAAUAUAUGAAUCUUACUGUCUGGCCAUAUACAUAUGUACAAGCUUAACAAAUAUGAAGUUUUUUGGCAUGAACCAAAAUAUCAGAGCCAAAAGUUUGCACCCAAGACUGCACACUAUUCAACUAAUCUCACAGCACUUAAGAAGAGCAGACUAAUACGCUUUGCUGAUCCAGGAGCUGAAAUAGGAUCCCAUGAUCUCUCUCCAACAGAGACAGGUAAGUAAUCACGAACAAUCUCAAUGUCUUUAGAGAAUCUCUUCCAUCAGGAGGAUAACCGGCUUCAUACACAUCAUCUGCUGUGCAGGCUUUGCCAAUUGGUUGGCUUGAGGCGAUGUAACUGCACAGAAACCACCAAAAACUCAACAGAAAAGAAACAAAGAAGGACACGAAAUCAAAUGACAAGAGAUGAAUGAGAGUGAGCUACUUAAAAUUGUCCAAGGAUCAGUAUUAGGAACUCUAAUAAACUCAGCUUCCUUAAGUAUAUAAAUUAUCAUCCUUAUAAGGUUGUUUGAGCAGAUCAUCCAUUUGAGCUAUCUAGUAUGACUAAAGAGCACCACCAAAAAAAGCGAGCUAUCUAGUAUGAAUAUGAUGAUCAAAUACGUCAUAUUUAUCUUGUGGAUGCAAGUCUUAGUCACCAUGCAGCAUGCUAAGGUUAAAUCCUGAACCCAUUGACCAAUAUCAUCAUGCUUUUUGUGAUUCAUUUUCUUAACCCUUUCAUUUCAGGUUACUUCAAGCAGUACACUCAAGUAGAAGAAAUGAGCCAAAGCUCUUUCAUAUAUUCAGAUCAAUUAGUAUAUACUUUUAUACAAUAUGUUCAACAGUUCAAGUUAUAUUACUUUCAGUAAACUUUAUUAAUCAUCAAUGUGGUUAUCCUAAAUCAUGUCCAACAAAGCCUAAUUGUUUUUCUUUUUUUUAUUCUUUUGAUUUGGUGUUUUAGAUCUCUACUGAUUUGAUGGGUCAAGAGUAAUUGUCUGCGUGCCAUUUACUUGUCUUACUGCAAUGACACAC
RNAcentral lists this long non-coding RNA (1295 nucleotides) under Brassica napus (rape). Its description in RNAcentral is "long non-coding RNA (BNAP_LNC003254)". Lineage: Eukaryota; Viridiplantae; Streptophyta; Magnoliopsida; Brassicales; Brassicaceae. The record is from RNAcentral.